This 405-nucleotide ribosomal RNA is filed under the name uncultured bacterium. Its description in RNAcentral is "partial 16S ribosomal RNA". It matches the Rfam family "Bacterial small subunit ribosomal RNA", at positions 29 to 526 of the family's 1533-position model. The record is from RNAcentral.
AUUGAACGCUGGCGGCAGGCCUAACACAUGCAAGUCGAACGAGUGGCGGACGGGUGAGUAAUGUCUGGGAAACUGCCCGAUGGAGGGGGAUAACUACUGGAAACGGUAGCUAAUACCGCAUACCAUCGGAUGUGCCAAGAUGGGCUUAGCUAGUAGGUGGGGUAACGGCGCACCUAGGCGACGAUCCCUAGCUGGUCUGAGAGGAUGACCAGCCACAAUGGAACUGAGAAACGUCCAGACUCCGACGGGAGGCAGCGGGGGGGAAUAUUGCACAAUGGGCGCAAUCGUGAUGCAGCCAUGCCGCGUGUAUGAAGAAGGCCUUCGGGUUAUAAAGUACUUGCAGAGAGGAGGCGUUACUCGCAGAAGAAGCACCGGCUAACGCUGUGCCAGCAGCCGCGGUAAUAC